CACGAAGCCCCGGCGGUCCCCGUUUCCCAAGGGCAGUCCCGCCGCCCCCGCCCGGGGCGCGCGCCCCCGCUCCGCGCCCGCCGCCGCCCCGCGGAGGUAAACAGGAAGCGGCGGCGGACAGCGCGGGCCCGCGGCGCGCGCGGCGGCGAACAUGCGGGGCGGCCUCCUGUCGGCGCUGCUCGUCGCCGCCCUGCCGCAGUUCUGCUGCAGGGCACAGGGCGCUGGGCCCUCGGGCACAACACCUGAAGGCAGGCCUGGGGAGGUAUCGCCGGUGCCCCCCCGCAAACAGUUCUGCCACUGGCCCUGUGAAUGCCCUCUGGAGAAGCCCCGUUGCCCCCCUGGUGUGAGCUCCGUGAGGGAUGGCUGUGGAUGCUGUAGAAUCUGUGCCAAGCAACCAGGGGACUUCUGCAAUGAAGCUGACCUCUGCGACCCCCACAAAGGGCUGUACUGUGACUACUCAGCAGACAGGCCUCGGUUCGAGACCGGAGUGUGUGCACACCUCGUAGCUGUGGGAUGUGAGUUCAACAGGGUGCAUUACCGGAACGGCCAAGAGUUUCAGCCCAGUCCCCUGUUUAGCUGCCUCUGCGUGAGUGGGGCCAUUGGAUGCACACCUCUGUUCAUACCGAAGCUGGCUGACAGUCCCUGCUCUGGGGCGAGAGGUGGGAAGAAGUCUGAUCGAUCGAACUGUGGCCUGAGACCGUUCCAACGGCAGCUUUCAACAAGCUACAAAACAAUGCCAGCUUAUAGGAAUCUCCCACUUAUUUGGAAAAGAGAAUGUCUUGUACAAGCAACAAAGUGGACACCUUGCUCCAGGACCUGUGGGAUGGGAAUAUCUAACAGGGUGACCAACGAGAACAGCAACUGUGAAAUGAGAAAUGAGAAAAGACUGUGUUAUAUUCAGCCUUGUGACAGUAAGAUAUCAAAAAUAGUAAAGAUCCCCAAAGGAAAAACGUGCCAACCCACUUUCCAGCUCUUGAAGGCUGAAAAAUUUGUCUUUUCAGGAUGCUCAAGCACUCAGAGUUACAAACCCACUUUCUGUGGGAUAUGCUUGGAUAAGAGAUGCUGUGUCCCUAAUAAGUCUAAAAUGGUAACUGUUCAAUUUGAAUGCCCAAAUGAAGGGUCAUUUAACUGGAACAUGCUGUGGAUUACAUCUUGUGUAUGUCAGAGAAACUGCAGAGAUCCAGGAGAUAUAUUUUCUGAGCUUAAAAUCCUAUGAAACUACGCAUAUGUGGGAAAAGUUGUUUUGCAACCAUGUCAUUAUAUAAAAAAAUUUAGAAUGGGUUUAAAAGGUGAUAAAUCUACUUUAUUGGUUUAAAACAGUAAGAAUGCCUACGUAUUUUCAGAUGACUGUAUUAAAGGCAUUAGAAGCUUUUAGAAAGUUCUAAAAAUGUAUGUAAAUUUGAAAACCUUAAAAUUGAAUGUUUAUUUUAAAAUGUAUCUUAUACCUGUAUAAUGCAGAUACUUGAUUCUAUGUAUUCCAUAUACAUAAUGGAAAAAUCAUACAAUUCACAAGGAAACAUUUUAUUCUGUAAAAUAAUCUGGAAUACUUUGUUGAAGAUAUGUGAAAAGCUUACAUUUUUAAAACUUUAUCUCUACUUUGAUAUAUAGCCUAGGCUCUUUUCAGAUAAUCAUUAUAGGGUGACCAAGAGUCUGUUUUAAACCUUAAGUAGUAAUAAGAUUAAACAAUAAAUAUAUUUAUAAUUUCCAUUUCCCUAUCCUAAAUAUUGAUUUAGAAGGUAUCUUUUGGAAGGAGAAAAGAUAACUCUUUGGGCCACUGUUGAUAACUGUAAUCUAAAAUUUUUGAUACCAGUACUGUAAAAAAUUAUCUUUCCAAGAUAAAGACCAAGAGCAGUAUACUUACUUUUAAAAGAAACCUAAAAAACAUAACAAUGAAGAAAGCAUACCACAGAUUGUUUUGGCUUGAAAAUAAACUGUUCCUAAAAAUUACUUCCUUAAAUGAUAAACCUACCUAUGGAUUUGAAAUACAAAUUGUGAUUAAGGAUAAAUUAAUCUUAAAGAAAUAAAAUGAAAUUAUAGUAAAUGAAACACUUUGACUAGAUUAUAGAUUUACUGCAAAGUUGAAAGAAAGUAUCAUGCUUACUAAUGUUGUUUGCUUGUGUAAAUGGUGACUAGCAAACAAUAAGUAGCAUUAAUUAAAAAUGUGGACAUUAUUAAAAAAUCAACUGGUUUGAUUUAAAAGAAAGCAUUAUAUUGGUAAAGUAAUUUAAUACAAAUACAUGUUAAAUGUAAAUUUUUUUUAUUCUUCUGGGUGCAAACAAGCUGUUAACCAAGAAGAAAGUCUCAAUAGUUGUCAUAAAACCUGUCCUGAACGUUCCUGGAUACACAGACAAGUAUUUAUAUUGUGUUCUACAACCUGUACAUACUUUUGAAGAAUCAGAAUUCUGGACUCAUACAUAGAGUAUGAAAACAUAAAUUAUCAAUAAACAUAAAUAUACAUCUGUAUAAGAUUUUUAUUGAAGAUACGAUUGUCACUAUAAAAUAUGCCUAAAUACAAGAUGAUAAAUAAAGCAAAAUGUUGAAGAACUCUAUUCUCUCAAUUUUAGAAAAGGGGAACUUCCUGAAGACAAAUGUCUGAAGAAGAUACUAGGACUUCACUCAUUUCACACACUGGCAACAUAAGAAAAUUAUGAUUACAUGGAAACCAUUCUUUUAGAAAAAAAUACUUCCUAAAACAAAAAACACAAACUGGGCUUUCUGAAUCACAAGAAAGAGCCUCAUGAAUCGCGCUCUCAGUUCUAUGAAGGCAGUCCUCACGCAAGUGUUAUUUGCUAAGGCUAACAGUGAGUGGGAGUGGCCCACGGGCGGCACUGGACACAGGCUGGUCUUCCAGCCGUCGGGGUUCCAGGAGACAAAUGGCAGAGAAGGUUUUAAUCUGAGAUAAAAAACUCAAAGGUAAGAAUUAAGGUACUAAAAACACUUGCCAUUUUGGGGCAGACCACAUUAGUGAAAGCAGGAUGUUACUGGCUGUACUAUUCCAAUUGCUUAGUCUAUGAUGUAAGCUAUUUUUAUUGUCGGCAGUAUCGUGGUACAGUCUGAACUCUGAGGAGGAGGACAGUACGUCGGCUGUGACUGGGGAUACAAAAAGCCAGGAACAGAUUCCGUAACAUUAGAAAUCGGGAUGAAAAAAA
Molecule: non-coding RNA, 3149 nt
Organism: Manis javanica (Malayan pangolin)
Lineage: Eukaryota; Metazoa; Chordata; Mammalia; Pholidota; Manidae
Source: RefSeq, a predicted model, not a curated record